Molecule: long non-coding RNA, 1276 nt
Organism: Symphalangus syndactylus (siamang)
Lineage: Eukaryota; Metazoa; Chordata; Mammalia; Primates; Hylobatidae
Source: RefSeq, a predicted model, not a curated record
GCGCUUUACUGAUUGCAUCCCCCUGGUGGCUUCACUCCUCUGUCUUCUGUAUUUCCUAAGAGAGAACUGAGGUCCAGAGAAGAUGCAGUCAGGGAUACUUCCUGGCAAAAUUGAGAUGAAUGAAGUUUGUCUCUGAGCCCUUCCCACUUUACUUUCCAUGUCCUCUCUCUCCUCAUUUGGUACUGUCUGUCCUCCUCUAUCCUCAGGCAGCUGUCAGGGAGAAAAUGAUCUGUGUGUCUAAUUUAUACUAAAGUGAAAAUGAUUGAUAUGACUAUCAGUCAUUCUUUACAUUUCUGUAAUGGACAAUUCCUGAUCCAAAGGGAUGAAACUUACUGGCCCAACUGCAGACAGUCCCGUACCUCUUUCUAAAGCCUCACCUCCUCGUACUCAUGUGUUUUUGCUCCUCCCCCUCUCCCUGUCUUGUGAAUUUCUGGUUCUACCACAUCACAUACCUCAGCAGCUCAUCAGAACUUCAGAGGUGAUCACAGCCACCCAAUGCAGGGUAAGAUAGAGUGAAACCCCCAAUGACAGGAAUUACAAGUGAUGGGGAGUUCACCACCUUUAAGGCAGCCCAUUCUAUUGCUCUGACUGAUGCUGAAACUUCUGUCCAUUAGCCCGUUUCACCCUUCUCUGCCUUCUCGAGCCAGAGUCAAAUGCAGUAACCUUGUCCCCUUUCACAUCAUAACCCUUAAAUAAAGGACUUUGUGUUCCCCAAAUAAAGACCUCUAGACUUGCUAUUCCUGUGUCCAGGAUGUACUUUCCUCCCUCUGAGCCUUUGCUCUUUCUCACUUCUCUGUGCCCUCUCCCUUCAAGGUCGCUUUCCAGUCUGAGAUUAUACCUUGCUCUUGGUUUAUUUGUAGAACAAAUAUGAUGGACAGCACCCCAAGCCCAGUGGAUUUGUGGUGGUUCUCAAAAAUUCCCUGGAGGAAUGGGUUUGGAGAGUGCUGUCUGCAUUAACUAAAUUAUAAUAGGCAAUGUUCAUUGAGAGCUCUCUAUGUGCCUGCCAUACCCUGUUAGAAGGAGAUAUUACCUAAUAUAGUCCUCCCAGUGAUGCCAUGAAGUGGGCUCUUUCAUCAUCCCCACUUAUGGAUGGAAAAACUGAGGCACAGGGACAUUUUGUAAUGUUCCCAAGGUCCAAUAGCUAAAAGUAAUGGAGGAUUUAAAUCCAGGUCUUCAAAUUUUAUAGACCAUACUCUGAUUACCAGGAUCUGCUAAAUGUAUGAUGCUGCCGCCACUGCCUGCCUGCACACACACACACACGCGCGUGCACACACAC